UUAAUUUUCUGUUUAGUUUUAAUUGUUUUCAUAAACAAAAUAAGAGUUGAAAUUUUUCUAUUGGCUAUUAGUUUAGUGGUAGAUGAACUGGUUCACUAUAGAAGGUGAACAUAAGACAAAUUCAAAAUAAAACAAAACUUUUUCGCAUUCACUAUUAAAAUGAUAAUCAAUAAAAAUUUGUUAAACCGUAUUUUUCUAUAUAAAAAUAUAAAAUAAAGAAACAUUAAAUAUUAUUAAUUAACAAAAAAAGAAAAAAAGAAUUCGGAGUUGUUACCUCCAUCAGCUAAAUCUUAAGCAUCAAUUUCUAAAUUCUAAGGUUCAUCUUCAAGGAUUUAUGGUUUUCGAUAUUUGUUGACGGCGUUUAGAAUUUAGUGUUUAUGAUUUUGUUGACGGUUUUAACAACAUCAUAUUUUUUUCCGCAAUUAUUUUUGUAGUUAUUUUUUUAAUUUCUCAUAAAUAAAUAUGAUUUGUCAAAAUUUUAUUGGUAUCAUUUUAGCAGUGAUUGCACAUAAAGAAAACUUAGAAAACAUACAAAAUAUAUCUCCAAAAUCUUGACAAUUUGUUAAUAGAUAUUAAUAAAAAAUCUGACAUAUAGCCUGAC
Molecule: long non-coding RNA, 601 nt
Filed under: Brassica rapa (field mustard)
Lineage: Eukaryota; Viridiplantae; Streptophyta; Magnoliopsida; Brassicales; Brassicaceae
Description: long non-coding RNA (BRAP_LNC002978)
Source: RNAcentral